RNAcentral lists this ribosomal RNA (460 nucleotides) under uncultured bacterium. RNAcentral's name for it is "partial 16S ribosomal RNA". It matches the Rfam family "Bacterial small subunit ribosomal RNA", at positions 338 to 795 of the family's 1533-position model. The record is from RNAcentral.
CCUACGGGAGGCUGCAGUGAGGAAUAUUGGUCAAUGGACGAGAGUCUGAACCAGCCAAGUAGCGUGAAGGAUGACUGCCCUAUGGGUUGUAAACUUCUUUUAUAUGGGAAUAAAACGUUCCACGUGUGGGAUUUUGUAUGUACCAUAUGAAUAAGGAUCGGCUAACUCCGUGCCAGCAGCCGCGGUAAUACGGAGGAUCCGAGCGUUAUCCGGAUUUAUUGGGUUUAAAGGGAGAGUAGGUGGAUUGUUAAGUCAGUUGUGAAAGUUUGCGGCUCAACCGUAAAAUUGCAGUUGAAACUGGCAGUCUUGAGUACAGUAGAGGUGGGCGGAAUUCGUGGUGUAGCGGUGAAAUGCUUAGAUAUCACGAAGAACUCCGAUUGCGAAGGCAGUUCACUGGACUGCAACUGACACUGAGGCUCGAAAGUGUGGGUAUCAAACAGGAUUAGAUACCCUUGUAGUC